RNAcentral lists this transfer RNA (77 nucleotides) under Kiritimatiellia bacterium. Its description in RNAcentral is "Kiritimatiellae bacterium (gut metagenome) tRNA-Pro". It matches the Rfam family "tRNA". Rfam says of the family: Transfer RNA (tRNA) molecules are approximately 80 nucleotides in length. Their secondary structure includes four short double-helical elements and three loops (D, anti-codon, and T loops). RNAcentral also lists the same sequence under 1 other name. The record is from RNAcentral. Lineage: Bacteria; Pseudomonadati; Kiritimatiellota; Kiritimatiellia.
CGGAGCGUAGCGCAGUCUGGUAGCGCGUUUGCUUCGGGAGCAAAAGGCCGUGGGUUCAAAUCCCACCGCUCCGACCA